CUUGUGCUAAUACCGGAUACGGACGAGAGUCGAAAGAUUUAUCGCCGAAGGAUUGGCCCGCGUUCGAUUAGCUAGUUGGUGUGGUAACGGCGCACCAAGGCGACGAUCGAUAGCUGGUCUGAGAGGAUGAUCAGCCACAUUGGGACUGAGACACGGCCCAAACUCCUACGGGAGGCAGCAGUGGGGAAUAUUGGACGAUGGGCGCAAGCCUGAUCCAGCCAUGCCGCGUGAGUGAUGACGGCCUUAGGGUUGUAAAGCUCUUUCGCUAGGGACGAUAAUGACGGUACCUAGACAAGAAGCCCCGGCUAACUUCGUGCCAGCAGCCGCGGUAAUACGAAGGGGGCUAGCGUUGUUCGGAACUACUGGGCGUAAAGCGCGUGUAGGCGGGCUUUUAAGUCAGGGGUGAAAUGCCAAGGCUCAAACCUUGGAACUGCCUUUGAUACUGGAA
Molecule: ribosomal RNA, 448 nt
Filed under: uncultured Methylocystaceae bacterium
Lineage: Bacteria; Pseudomonadati; Pseudomonadota; Alphaproteobacteria; Hyphomicrobiales; Methylocystaceae
Description: bacterial SSU rRNA
Rfam family: Bacterial small subunit ribosomal RNA
Source: RNAcentral